This 822-nucleotide ribosomal RNA is filed under the name uncultured bacterium. RNAcentral's name for it is "bacterial SSU rRNA". It matches the Rfam family "Bacterial small subunit ribosomal RNA", at positions 8 to 850 of the family's 1533-position model. The record is from RNAcentral.
AGAGUUUGAUCCUGGCUCAGAACGAACGCUGGCGGCGUGGAUAAGACAUGCAAGUCGAACGAGAGAAUUGCUAGCUUGCUAAUAAUUCUCUAGUGGCGCACGGGUGAGUAACACGUGAGUAACCUGCCCCCGAGAGCGGGAUAGCCCUGGGAAACUGGGAUUAAUACCGCAUAGUAUCGAAAGAUUAAAGCAGCAAUGCGCUUGGGGAUGGGCUCGCGGCCUAUUAGUUAGUUGGUGAGGUAACGGCUCACCAAGGCGAUGACGGGUAGCCGGUCUGAGAGGAUGUCCGGCCACACUGGAACUGAGACACGGUCCAGACACCUACGGGUGGCAGCAGUCGAGAAUCAUUCACAAUGGGGGAAACCCUGAUGGUGCGACGCCGCGUGGGGGAAUGAAGGUCUUCGGAUUGUAAACCCCUGUCAUGUGGGAGCAAAUUAAAAAGAUAGUACCACAAGAGGAAGAGACGGCUAACUCUGUGCCAGCAGCCGCGGUAAUACAGAGGUCUCAAGCGUUGUUCGGAAUCACUGGGCGUAAAGCGUGCGUAGGCUGUUUCGUAAGUCGUGUGUGAAAGGCGCGGGCUCAACCCGCGGACGGCACAUGAUACUGCGAGACUAGAGUAAUGGAGGGGGAACCGGAAUUCUCGGUGUAGCAGUGAAAUGCGUAGAUAUCGAGAGGAACACUCGUGGCGAAGGCGGGUUCCUGGACAUUAACUGACGCUGAGGCACGAAGGCCAGGGGAGCGAAAGGGAUUAGACACCCCUGUAGUCCUGGCAGUAAACGGUGCACGCAUGGGGUGCGGGGAAUCGACCCCCUGCGUGCCGGA